AGUUCUUUCUUGUUACUCGACCUC
This 24-nucleotide non-coding RNA is filed under the name Arabidopsis thaliana (thale cress). Lineage: Eukaryota; Viridiplantae; Streptophyta; Magnoliopsida; Brassicales; Brassicaceae. The record is from RNAcentral.